This 446-nucleotide ribosomal RNA is filed under the name uncultured Methanolinea sp. RNAcentral describes it as "bacterial SSU rRNA". It matches the Rfam family "Archaeal small subunit ribosomal RNA", at positions 892 to 1338 of the family's 1478-position model. Lineage: Archaea; Methanobacteriati; Methanobacteriota; Methanomicrobia; Methanomicrobiales; Methanoregulaceae. The record is from RNAcentral.
AGCCUGCGGUUUAAUUGGACUCAACGCCGGGAAGCUCACCGGAUAAGACAGCUGGAUGAUAGCCGGGCUGAAGACUCUGCUUGACUAGCUGAGAGGAGGUGCAUGGCCGUCGUCAGUUCGUACUGUGAAGCAUCCUGUUAAGUCAGGCAACGAGCGAGACCCACGCCAACAGUUGCCAGCUCGUCCUCCGGGAUGGAGGGGACACUGUUGGGACCGCUCUGCUAAAGAGGAGGAAGGAAUGGGCAACGGUAGGUCAGCAUGCCCCGAAUUAUCCGGGCUACACGCGGGCUACAAUGGUCAGGACAAUGGGUAUCGACACCGAGAGGUGGAGGCAAUCUCCUAAACCUGUCCUUAGUUCGGAUUGUGGGCUGCAACUCGCCCACAUGAAGCUGGAAUCCGUAGUAAUCGCGUUUCAAAAUAGCGCGGUGAAUAUGUCCCUGCUCCUU